ACUAGAAAGAGUGGCUAAUACCGCAGACGCCCUACGGGGGAAAGGGGGGGAUCGCAGGACCUCUCACUAUUGGAGCGGCCGAUAUCGGAUUAGCUACUUGGUGGGGUAAAGGCUCACCAAGGCAACGAUCCGUAGCUGGUUUGAGAGGACAACCAGCCACACUGGGACUGAGACACGGCCCAGACUCCUACGGGAGGCAGCAGUGGGGAAUUUUGGACAAUGGGGGAAACCCUGAUCCAGCCAUCCCGCGUGUAUGAUGAAGGCCUUCGGGUUGUAAAGUACUUUUGGCAGAGAAGAAAAGGUAUCCCCUAAUACGGGAUACUGCUGACGGUAUCUGCAGAAUAAGCACCGGCUAACUACGUGCCAGCAGCCGCGGUAAUACGUAGGGUGCAAGCGUUAAUCGGAAUUACUGGGCGUAAAGCGUGUGUAGGCGGUUCUGAAAAAAAGAUGUGAAAUCCCAGGGCUCAACCUUGGAACUGCAUUUUUAACUGCCGAGCUAGAGUAUGUCAGAGGGGGGUAGAAUUCCACGUGUAGCAGUGAAAUGCGUAUAUAUGUGGAGGAAUACCGAUGGCGAAGGCAGCCCCCUGGGAUAAUACUGACGCUCACCACAAUAGCGUGCGGAGCAAACAGGAUUAGAUACCCUGGUAGUCCACGCCGUAAACAAUGUCAACUAGCUGUUGGGGCCGUUAGGCCUUAUUAUCGCGCCUCAC
Molecule: ribosomal RNA, 710 nt
Filed under: Alcaligenes faecalis
Lineage: Bacteria; Pseudomonadati; Pseudomonadota; Betaproteobacteria; Burkholderiales; Alcaligenaceae
Description: bacterial SSU rRNA
Rfam family: Bacterial small subunit ribosomal RNA
Source: RNAcentral